UACAGAGGUCUCAAGCGUUGUUCGGAUUCAUUGGGCGUAAAGGGUGCGUAGGCGGCGGGGUAAGUCUGGUGUGAAAUCUCGGAGCUCAACUCCGAAAUUGCACUGGAUACUGCUCUGCUAGAGGGCUGGAGAGGAGAUCGGAAUUCCCGGUGUAGUGGUGAAAUGCGUAGAUAUCGAGAGGAACACCAGUGGCGAAGGCGGCUCACUGGGCUCCGCCUGACGCUGAGGCGCGAAAGCGUGGGGAGCGAACCGG
RNAcentral lists this ribosomal RNA (253 nucleotides) under uncultured bacterium. Its description in RNAcentral is "partial 16S ribosomal RNA". It matches the Rfam family "Bacterial small subunit ribosomal RNA", at positions 524 to 776 of the family's 1533-position model. The record is from RNAcentral.